CCUACGGGAGGCAGCAGUGAGGAAUAUUGGUCAAUGGGCGCGAGCCUGAACCAGCCAAGUAGCGUGAAGGAUGACUGCCCUAUGGGUUGUAAACUUCUUUUAUAAGGGAAUAAAGUGAGGCACGUGUGCCUUUUUGUAUGUACCUUAUGAAUAAGGAUCGGCUAACUCCGUGCCAGCAGCCGCGGUAAUACGGAGGAUCCGAGCGUUAUCCGGAUUUAUUGGGUUUAAAGGGAGCGUAGGUGGGUUGUUAAGUCAGUUGUGAAAGUUUGCGGCUCAACCGUAAAAUUGCAAUUGAUACUGGCAGUCUUGAGUACAGGUGAGGUAGGCGGAAUUCGUGGUGUAGCGGUGAAAUGCUUAGAUAUCACGAAGAACUCCGAUUGCGAAGGCAGCUUACUAAACUGUCACUGACAUUGAUGCUCGAAAGUGUGGGGAGCAAACAGGAUUAGAUACCCGAGUAGUC
This 460-nucleotide ribosomal RNA is filed under the name uncultured bacterium. RNAcentral describes it as "partial 16S ribosomal RNA". It matches the Rfam family "Bacterial small subunit ribosomal RNA", at positions 338 to 795 of the family's 1533-position model. The record is from RNAcentral.